Long non-coding RNA from Onychostoma macrolepis, 1550 nucleotides. RefSeq lists it as uncharacterized. The record is from RefSeq and is a predicted model, not a curated record. NCBI's taxonomy places the organism in Eukaryota, Metazoa, Chordata, Actinopteri, Cypriniformes, Cyprinidae. The transcript is spliced from 5 exons.
UGGUUUACAUACCCCACGGCCCCGUCAGGAAGAACCCUCAACAAAGUGUCAUGUUGAAGGAGUAAUAAUUCAUACAAUUUACUAAAUCAGCAAAUUCAUAUGAUAUUGUACAAACGUACUUAUACAAAAUUCUACGACUUUUACUCUUACUGCUGUCAUUGGCCUUUGCCUCAACUCUCAUGCAGAUUGUGCCCAUUGUAAGUAGUCAGAGUGUUUGUAUCACAAAGUUUUAUUAAGUCCAGUGUAUUCUUUAUUAAUCUUUACAAAUUGGCGCCGUCUCUUCCCGUUCUAACAGUACAUGAUAUCUGUCCACACCCACACCUGAUUUUUAUUGAACACUUCUGUCUAAGGAGCAAGAGUCUGGAAAUGCUAGUUUAACUUCUCAUGUGACAAAUCAGAUCUUCAAUUAAUUUGGCCAAAUCAAAUCACAUAAAGCUGUUCACACCAAGAACAAGAAAUUUAAUAUUAAAUAUUUUAGCAUCCACAACAGACGAUAAUGGUCUGUUUACUGUUAUACACACUGCAGUUACAGUAUGUUGUUGAUGUCUGCUAUUUUUCAGCUUGAAAAAGUUGUCCUGGAAGAGAUUCCAACGGUAUUGUUCCUCUGAAAUAGCUGCGGUGUGGACUCGUCUUUGGUGUGAAGAGGCCUUUAAAUUGCUUACAACAAUACUGGCAACAUCUGAAGACCAAAAUCAGUCACAGCAAGCCGGUCAAACCAGUCCUGAUGAAUGAGGAAUGAACAUGGUCUUCUUGUGCUCAAACAGAAAAGACAGAGCUGGAAAGUUGCACAUUUCCAUUGGUAUGUCUGUAUUCAAUGUAGAAUGAUCAAAUCAGCUGUGCAUCAUCUUUGGAAUUUGGGCAGGAAAUGACUGAAUAUGAGGAUGAAGCCAGUUAAUGAAUAUAUCACUUCAAUAGCCACCAAGUGCAGAAGUGCUGCCUGAACCCAUCAGGUAUCUGCUGUGAAGACUGCAUUCACGAACAGCUCUACUGCAGAUGUUACAGCCUAUAAAAUAAACUUCACAACUGAACAACUGCAAGAUAGCGGUGGAGGGAUUCUUUUGGCCCAUACCUCCAACAACCUCCAACAAGAAUCAAUGGACAUCUACACCAGGUGUUGUGUGAGGAGGACAGUCAGAGACUCCAGCCACCCGAGCCAUAGAUUGCUCUCACCGUUACCAUCAGGCAGAUGUUAUUGCAGAACCUUCACCAGCAGACAAGUUCUUUCCACAGACAAUCAGACUGAACUGAACUCGUACCAGUAACACCACACACAGCACACCAACCUCUUAUGCACUGCACUCUAUCACUUACACUGACUGGACUCCGACUCACUAUUAUUCUGCACCCUGACAUUAUGUGUGCACUAAUUCAUACCGUAUUUCACUGCAAAGAUAUAUGUGUACUGUGAUUAUUGUGUUUAAUCACAAUAAUCAGUUGUGUUAUUGUUUUCAUUUCAUACUCUCUGUAUAGUAUAAUAUUUAUCAUAUGUUGUUCUCUACCUGUAUUGAGUCCCUUACACAUAUGUGUUGCAUAUUGUUCAAAAGACUUUC